Molecule: transfer RNA, 61 nt
Filed under: Mesohomotoma hibisci
Lineage: Eukaryota; Metazoa; Arthropoda; Insecta; Hemiptera; Carsidaridae
Description: tRNA-Leu
Source: RNAcentral
CUAUUUUGUCAGAUUUAAUGUGUUAGAUUUAGGAUUUAAUUAUGUAUUCAAUACAAAUAGG